RNAcentral lists this long non-coding RNA (727 nucleotides) under Eurytemora carolleeae. RNAcentral's name for it is "uncharacterized LOC111706373". Lineage: Eukaryota; Metazoa; Arthropoda; Copepoda; Calanoida; Temoridae. The record is from RNAcentral.
UUUGCAGACGGUACUCCAUUUGAAUAAGAAAUACAAUUCUGAAUAUUUCUUAUACAAAUGGAGUACCGCCUGCAACGCUUGUAUGAUAAUAUGGUAGGGCGGGCCGCGUCAGUUGUAACUCUCUUCUAUUUCAUACUUCUUGGUUUAAUGGACCGGAACAACAAAGCGUGGAGUAAUAUAUUUUCAUAUAAUCUUCCUCCCCCCUUUUCUUUGUCUACUAAGAAAUCAGGUUACACUGAAAAAUCAGAUCAGUUAGUGAACAUUUGAAAUAUUAAAACCUUUGUCGAAAACAUUUUUUGUGAUAUUCGUCUUUUCUGAUAAAUAUUUGAUCAUUUGCUUAAAAAGUGACUUGCGGAUUUUACAGCAAAGACUUGAUUUGAAAUAGAUUAAAACGAAAACGACGGAUUUCUUCCUAAUAAUUUAUCAGAAAAAGUUACAAGGUUGCAGUUACAAAUCGUUACUCGUGUAUGCUACUUUCCCAAACAAGGAUCAAUUGACAGUCCUUCAAAUCUAUCUGCAUAAUUAUAGGGGGGGGGGGGAAGUUGUGAAAAUAUUUACCUCUGUUAUUGUGAGCUUGUGAAACUAGUGAUAAAUCAAACUAAAGAAACGCAACCAAACCCUUCUGGAGAGUAGAAAUCAACUAAAAGUGGAGAGAAUAUUCUUUAAAAUGUAAGUAAUAAAUUUCACAUAAAUUGUACUCUUAAUUUAAUAAAUAAUUUAUUUGCAA